CCAAAGGUUCUUUCAAGAACCACCAAAAUACCACGAAAGAUGAUAU
Non-coding RNA from Strongylocentrotus purpuratus (purple sea urchin), 46 nucleotides. The record is from Rfam. Lineage: Eukaryota; Metazoa; Echinodermata; Echinoidea; Camarodonta; Strongylocentrotidae.